UGUAGCCGCAGCUGGAUGAACCUCAUUUGCGGGAGCUAGGACAGGAGGCUUCCCCAUUUGUGGCAGUCCCCAGCCGGAGACGGGGACGAGGCAGCACCUGCCAGGAUGAAUGGUUUGCUCCCCGCCCCCAGGAGGGAGGAGACCUUCCCGCCCCCUCCACUAUCACGUGGGAAAACAAAUGCUGCGGCCGCUGCCCUGCCCUGCUCCUGUGGCCCGGCGGGCGGGCUGCGUGCAGCACCAUGAAGAUGCAUUUCAGCAUCCCCGUCUCGGAGCAGCUGCUGGAGAAGUUCGGGGGCCGCUACGUGCUGUACUCUGUGUACCUGGAAGGCUUCCUCUUCUGCAAGGUGCGCUACAGCCAGCUACACCACUGGAACGAUCAGGUGAGAGACUCCAGCCCAACCCCCUUCUCACUCUCCCUUGCCAGGUUCAGCUAGGGGAACUUCCAUCAAAUGGCCAACAAAUGCUCCAUUGAAAUGAGGAGAGACAAGGUGGGCGAGGGCGUAUCUUUUACUGGACCAACUUCUGUUGGUGAAAGAGAUGAGCUUUUGAGAUGCACAGAGCUCUUCUUCACCUCAUUGAAAUGAAUGCAGGCUGAGAUCCUGUAAUGUUGCCUGUGGAUGGUAAUGAGCUUUUCUUGUGUAGUACUUGAAGUGGGAGGGAGAUACAUAAAGGUCUGGGUGCUGUGGAGUGAGUGUGUUAUUACACACAUUUUUAAGGUGCCCAGCACCGUAGGGAGUGGCAAACUCUGAAGCAAAGCAGAGAAAUAUUGAGAGGAGGGAUGUCGGGAAAUACAAUAUUCUGGAAAUUUAUAUUCGUGCCAAAGAAGAGCUAUUUUUUAAUUUUGGGUAAUGGAGAUGGAAUUUUUUGGCUGUCCCCCAUUUCCUUUGCACUUAAAUAGGUAAUAUGAAGUAUGAAUUGGAGGUGAUUACAAAUCUAAUGCUUCUUUGAUAAACUCUUCACCCUUUAUAAGCAGUUUGAUUUCAUUUUUUCCUCCUACUUUUCCAAUUAUUUUCAUGGCAGUUCUUUGGCUUUUAUUAUGCAUACCCCAGGCAUGCUGGUCUGAGCUAUAUGCAAGAGAUGAGAUAUCUUACCCCCCCCCCCCCCACCACCACCCCUUUUCUUUGCAAAAUAUUUUCCAUUUUUCCCAUAAUACUCCUCAGUGAAGGUUUAAGGUGUUUCCUUAUUGAGACCUGGCAACAUCUGAAAGCUAUGAAAGGGGAAUUGAGUAAUGGUCAUGUACCAGUAUUCAGGGGAACAGGUUUCACACAGUUAUUUUUGGUAUCAUUGACUGCAAGAAGUUUGCUCUGAUUUUAAGACAUCCAAAACUAUUGCAGCAUUUCUCUCCGAGUCAUAAAUAACACUAGAGCCUCUUUUAGGCUCUGUCUAUGCUAGAGUUCAAAUCAUAGGGUUUUUUUCACUGUUCUUGCUUGGAAGGUGCUAACGUUGUUUUGAGUUCAAGUAUAUAGGCUCCAACUAUGUAUGUUGGGGCCAAGGUCCUGCUGUUAACACACCUAUGGACUGUGUGAGUCAGAGUCGUGGGAAAUACGAUCUCGUGAAUAGGGCAUUAGACUGGGAUUGAGGAGACCUGGGUUCAGUUUCUAAUUUGACUACAGACACUCUGUGAUCUUGACACGUCAAUUAAUCUACCCUCUUCCUCAAUUACUUAUCUGUAACAUGGGAAUAAUUACUUCCCUGCCUCAAGGGGUUGGUGUGAAGAUAAAAUCCCCAUUAAUGAUAGUGGGAGCUUUAUAAAUACCUAGAGCGGUUUAUCACAUAAUUUUCAGAUAACAGUAAGUGUUAUGGAUAAUUACAUAACAAGCUCUUUUGUAUUGUGUACAACCUGUUGAUCUUCAUUAGUGUAUUCUUCUGGAUCACCCAUUCUCUGAUCUAGUAACAAAUAUGAAAUAGUAAAGGGGUACUACAGGAGGGUGUAAUAGAUUUAUGUUUAUAUAUUGCCUGAGCAGUGAAAGACACAUCAAAUAGCUGGAUUAUUUCCAUCAGUCUUACAUUUUCACAUCCAUAAAUGUCCAGAUCACUUAUGUUUAAUAGUGUCCUAAGGAAGCCACUCUGCUUAACAAUUCUAACAGCAGACUGGAAAUAGCAGUAGAAAAUGUACUGCAGAGGUCAGUCCAAUACUGGUGAUAGGUGGACUGGAUAAUCUAUUCCAGAAGUUCUCAAACUGUAGUCUGUGGAAACCUCCAAGUUAACAUCAUGCUGGUUCCCUCCUCCACUCCAGCUGCUAUAUUGCGUGAAGACAGCUGCAAAUACAUAGAAAAGGGCCACUAGGGAAGUAUUGUAAGUAGGGCUGUCAAGCGAUUAAAAAAAUUAAUCGUGAUUAAUCGCGCUGUUAAAUAAUAGUAGAAUACCGUUUAUAUAAAUAUUUUUUGAUAUUUUCCACAUUUUCAAAUAUAUUGAUUUCAAUUACAACACAGAAUACAAAGUGUACAGUGCUCACUUUAUAUUUAUUUUUAUUAUAAAUAUUUGUACUGUAAAAAUAAAGAAAUAGUAUUUUUCA
Long non-coding RNA from Chrysemys picta bellii (western painted turtle), 2515 nucleotides. Lineage: Eukaryota; Metazoa; Chordata; Testudines; Emydidae. The record is from Ensembl.